GCGGCGUGACCUAUACAUGCAAGUCGAACGGGGUAGCAAUACCAAGUGGCGCACGGGUGAGGAAUAUAUGGGUAAUCUGCCCUCGAGUCGGGGAUAACCAGUCGAAAGAUUGGCUAAUACCGGAUAAGACCACAGGAUCUGCGGAUCUAGGGGUUAAAGGUUUUUCGCUUGAGGAUGAGCCCAUAUGGGAUUAGCUAGUUGGUAAGGUAACGGCUUACCAAGGCUACGAUCCCUAACUGGUCUUAGAGGAUGAUCAGUCACACUGGAACUGAGACACGGUCCAGACUCCUACGGGAGGCAGCAGUAGGGAAUAUUGCACAAUGGAGGAAACUCUGAUGCAGCGACGCCGCGUGAGUGAUGAAGGCCUUCGGGUCGUAAAGCUCUGUCGUAUGGGACUAACAAAAUGAAGGUACCAUGCAAGAAAGGAUCGGCUAACUUCGUGCCAGCAGCCGCGGUAAGACGAGGGAUCCUAGCGUUGUUCGGAAUUAUUGGGCGUAAAGCGGGUGUAGGUGGUCUUAUAAGUCAGGUGUGAAAUCCCAGGGCUCAACCCUGGAAGUGCACUUGAUACUGCAAGACUUGAGUGUGGUAGAGGCUAUUAGAAUUCUUGGUGUAGUGGUGAAAUACGUAGAUAUCAAGAGGAAUACCGGAGGCGAAGGCGGAUAGCUGGGCCAACACUGACACUGAGACCCGAAAGCGUGGGGAUCAAACAGGAUUAGAUACCCUGGUAGUCCACGCCGUAAACGAUGGAUACUUGUUGUUAGAGGUAUUGACCCCUUUAGUGACGUAGCUAACGCGUUAAGUAUCCCGCCUGGGGAGUACGGUCGCAAGAUUA
This 832-nucleotide ribosomal RNA is filed under the name uncultured bacterium. Its description in RNAcentral is "bacterial SSU rRNA". It matches the Rfam family "Bacterial small subunit ribosomal RNA", at positions 39 to 896 of the family's 1533-position model. The record is from RNAcentral.